CUCCAGACUCCUACGGGAGGCAGCAGUGGGGAAUAUUGCACAAUGGGGGAAACCCUGAUGCAGCAACGCCGCGUGGGUGAAGGAGCGUUUCGGCGCGUAAAGCCCUGUCAGCGGGGAAGAAGAAAGACGGUACCCGACCAAGAAGCCCCGGCUAACUACGUGCCAGCAGCCGCGGUAAUACGUAGGGGGCGAGCGUUAUCCGGAUUUACUGGGUGUAAAGGGAGCGUAGACGGCUGGUCAAGUCUGAAGUGAAAGCCCGGGGCUUAACCCCGGAACGGCUUUGGAAACUGAGCAGCUAGAGUGCUGGAGAGGUAAGCGGAAUUCCUAGUGUAGCGGUGAAAUGCGUAGAUAUUAGGAGGAACACCAGUGGCGAAGGCGGCUUACUGGACAGUAACUGACGUUGAGGCUCGAAAGCGUGGGGAGCAAACAGGAUUAGAUACCCUUGUA
RNAcentral lists this ribosomal RNA (447 nucleotides) under uncultured bacterium. RNAcentral's name for it is "bacterial SSU rRNA". It matches the Rfam family "Bacterial small subunit ribosomal RNA", at positions 329 to 792 of the family's 1533-position model. The record is from RNAcentral.